Molecule: ribosomal RNA, 538 nt
Filed under: uncultured bacterium
Lineage: Bacteria
Description: bacterial SSU rRNA
Rfam family: Bacterial small subunit ribosomal RNA
Source: RNAcentral
UUACUGGGCGUAAAGAGCUCGUAGGUGGUUUGUCGCGUUGUUCGUGAAAUCUCACGGCUUAACUGUGAGCGUGCGGGCGAUACGGGCAGACUUGAGUACUGCAGGGGAGACUGGAAUUCCUGGUGUAGCGGUGGAAUGCGCAGAUAUCAGGAGGAACACCGGUGGCGAAGGCGGGUCUCUGGGCAGUAACUGACGCUGAGGAGCGAAAGCGUGGGGAGCGAACAGGAUUAGAUACCCUGGUAGUCCACGCCGUAAACGGUGGGUACUAGGUGUGGGUUUCCUUCCUUGGGAUCCGUGCCGUAGCUAACGCAUUAAGUACCCCGCCUGGGGAGUACGGCCGCAAGGCUAAAACUCAAAGAAAUUGACGGGGGCCCGCACAAGCGGCGGAGCAUGUGGAUUAAUUCGAUGCAACGCGAAGAACCUUACCUGGGUUUGACAUGCACAGGACGCCGGCAGAGAUGUCGGUUCCCUUGUGGCCUGUGUGCAGGUGGUGCAUGGCUGUCGUCAGCUCGUGUCGUGAGAUGUUGGGUUAAGUCCC